UAAAGUCUGGCCUGCCCACUGAUUUAUUUUAAAGGGCCGCGGUAUACUGACCGUGCGAAGGUAGCAUAAUCACUAGUCUUUUAAUUGGAGGCUUGUAUGAAUGGUUGGACAAAAAGCAAGCUGUCUCAGUUAUAAAAAUUGAAAUUAACUUUUGAGUGAAAAGGCUUAAAUAAAUUAAGGGGACGAUAAGACCCUAUAAAGCUUGACAAUAAGCUGCUUAUAUUAUAAAUUGUUAGUGUAACUUGAUAUUAAACGGUGUUUGUUGCGUUGGGGCGACGAGAAUAUAAAAGGUAACUGUUCUUAUAACAUCCAAUAACAGAAAUGUCUGGAAAUUCAAUGAUCCUUUUUUAAAGAUCAUAAGAUUAAGUUACUUUAGGGAUAACAGCGUAAUCUUCCUUGAGAGUCCAUAUCGACAGGAAGGGUUGCGACCUCGAUGUUGAAUUAAGGUAUCCUUAUGAUGCAGCAGUUGUAAAGGAAGGUCUGUU
This 485-nucleotide ribosomal RNA is filed under the name Penaeus paulensis (pink shrimp). RNAcentral's name for it is "partial 16S ribosomal RNA". It matches the Rfam family "Bacterial large subunit ribosomal RNA", at positions 1846 to 2581 of the family's 2925-position model. The record is from RNAcentral. Lineage: Eukaryota; Metazoa; Arthropoda; Malacostraca; Decapoda; Penaeidae.